This 208-nucleotide long non-coding RNA is filed under the name Ursus maritimus (polar bear). RNAcentral's name for it is "lncRNA (ENSUMAG00000020589.1)". Lineage: Eukaryota; Metazoa; Chordata; Mammalia; Carnivora; Ursidae. The record is from RNAcentral.
AUGCCCUUUCAGCAAGUUGGUACAGAUAAGAAGUUUCAUUUGCCUUUCCUGUGAACUGAUGAAACCAAGUGCAGUGAAACUCACUUCUAAGACUUCUGAACAGCCACGGUCUGAUGUGUUUGGUACUGACCCCAGUGAUGGAUUCGAUUUCAGGUGCAUAUUUGUCGGGGAACAUCACUGAGAAGACAUGACCUCCAGGCGACCUGUG